RNAcentral lists this transfer RNA (53 nucleotides) under Pyemotes zhonghuajia. RNAcentral's name for it is "tRNA-Gln". Lineage: Eukaryota; Metazoa; Arthropoda; Arachnida; Trombidiformes; Pyemotidae. The record is from RNAcentral.
UUGUUUUAGGUGUUUUGCAUAGUAGGUUUUGAGCCUAAUGGAUUUAAAACAAA